AGAGUUUGAUCAUGGCUCAGGACGAACGCUGGCGGCGUGCCUAACACAUGCAAGUCGAGCGGAGACAGUGAGUAGCUUGCUAUGAGCUGUUUUAGCGGCGGACGGGUGGGUAACGCGUGAGCAACCUUUCCCAGACAGGGGAAUAACACACCGAAAGGCGUACUAAUACCGCAUAAGACCACGGGAUCACAUGGUUCUGGGGUAAAAGAUUUAUCGGUUUGGGGUGGGCUCGCGUCCGAUUAGGUAGUUGGUGAGGUAACGG
RNAcentral lists this ribosomal RNA (262 nucleotides) under uncultured bacterium. RNAcentral's name for it is "partial 16S ribosomal RNA". It matches the Rfam family "Bacterial small subunit ribosomal RNA", at positions 8 to 263 of the family's 1533-position model. The record is from RNAcentral.